This is a non-coding RNA of Salmo salar (Atlantic salmon), 54 nucleotides long. The record is from Rfam. NCBI's taxonomy places the organism in Eukaryota, Metazoa, Chordata, Actinopteri, Salmoniformes, Salmonidae.
GGCAUUCACUACUGUAAGUUGCUCUGGAUAAGAGUGUCUGCUAAAUGACUAAAA